This 392-nucleotide long non-coding RNA is filed under the name Pan troglodytes (chimpanzee). RNAcentral's name for it is "long non-coding RNA NONPTRT005161". The record is from RNAcentral. Lineage: Eukaryota; Metazoa; Chordata; Mammalia; Primates; Hominidae.
AAAACAUCAGUUAACAUUAACCAUCAUUCCAUAUGUUCACUUCCUGCCAGGCUCUGGGGAGGAAAGGGAGCCCAUGGCAGACCAGACCCCUGGCCGGCCAGGGUCCCCGGGCCUGCGAGGAGGACGUUCGUGGGCGAGUGUGUGGUGGUGGGUGAACUGCGGCAGAACCCGAGAUUGACAGCUGGAACCCUCUCCUCUUGCAGGUCUGGGUGAAAAGCGUGGGACCCUCAGCCCAGAGCCGCACAAGACUUGGAUUUGCUUUGGAAACCACUGUGCUUUUCAACAAGAUCGUUCAAAUGGCCUGGGUGGAGACGGGGAGCUGGAGAGUUGGGGAUGGAAGCCGAUUUUAAGCCUGGAGGAAUCCAAACUGCACACAGUAGUCCAAGGCCCUG